This 460-nucleotide ribosomal RNA is filed under the name uncultured bacterium. Its description in RNAcentral is "partial 16S ribosomal RNA". It matches the Rfam family "Bacterial small subunit ribosomal RNA", at positions 338 to 795 of the family's 1533-position model. The record is from RNAcentral.
CCUACGGUGGGCAGCAGUGAGGAAUAUUGGUCAAUGGACGAGAGUCUGAACCAGCCAAGUAGCGUGAAGGAUGACUGCCCUAUGGGUUGUAAACUUCUUUUAUAAAGGAAUAAAACGAGGCACGUGUGCCUUUUUGCAUGUACUUUAUGAAUAAGGAUCGGCUAACUCCGUGCCAGCAGCCGCGGUAAUACGGAGGAUCCGAGCGUUAUCCGGAUUUAUUGGGUUUAAAGGGAGCGUAGAUGGGUUGUUAAGUCAGUUGUGAAAGUUUGCGGCUCAACCGUAAAAUUGCAAUUGAUACUGGCAGUCUUGAGUACAGUUGAGGUAGGCGGAAUUCGUGGUGUAGCGGUGAAAUGCUUAGAUAUCACGAAGAACUCCGAUUGCGAAGGCAGCUUACUAAACUGCCACUGACAUUGAUGCUCGAAAGUGUGGGUAUCAAACAGGAUUAGAUACCCCUGUAGUC